RNAcentral lists this ribosomal RNA (318 nucleotides) under uncultured Chloroflexota bacterium. RNAcentral's name for it is "bacterial SSU rRNA". It matches the Rfam family "Bacterial small subunit ribosomal RNA", at positions 28 to 351 of the family's 1533-position model. Lineage: Bacteria; Bacillati; Chloroflexota. The record is from RNAcentral.
GAUAAACGCUGGCGGCGUGCUUUAUGCAUGCAAGUCGCACGGUCAAUCGCAAGAAAGACAGUGGCAAACGGGUGCGUAAUACAUAAGUAACCUGCCCCUAAGUGGAGAAUAGCUCCGGGAAACUGGAGAUAAUGCUGCAUGUUGUAGCGGGGGUAAUGCUCCGCUAAUAAAGCCCGUAAGGGCGCUUGGGGAGGGGCUUAUGUCUGAUUAGCUAGUUGGUGAGGUAAUGGCCCACCAAGGCUUUGAUCGGUAGCUGGUCUGAGAGGAUGGUCAGCCACAAUGGGACUGAGACACGGCCCAUACUCCUACGGGUGGCAG